GAGUCUGUGAGGCAGAGUUUAAACCAGAGCACUGGUCCUAUCUGUUUGGCCACUGUGAUUGGUCAGGGUGUUCAUGUGACCUGAGCCACACCAACCAGAGUGAACCUCAAGAUUUUAGAAGAACUGUGAUUGUUUUCCCUCACCAGACUUUAACCAGAAUGGUGUAAGGUGUGGAACAGUUGAAGCCAUUUUGUUAUCACAUAGAGCCUCAGAACAAAACCAAUGCUUGGACAAGAGCCUAGGCGAGGAUCUGUAAUAACUGGGUCACGCUGUGCCUAAAGCUAGGAGAUCUCUGAGUCAUCCCAGCGAUAUGAGCCAGUAAGUUCCACUGGGCUUCAACAAGCCUUCCUCUACAACCCACUUACCAUCUGGGAUGAGAAUCAGAGUCUUUGACCUUAGAGGCCAUCAAGUCUGGCUCCCCUUCCAUUUUACUGAUGGGAAAACUGAGGUCUAAAGUGAUGGAAAAAUUAUCUACAAUCUCAAGAUUGUGGCCAUCAGGCCAAGAGCUAAAAGUGUGGGGAGGUUUCCGCCAUGCCUCGAUGUCUCUCCAGAUGAAUCUGCUCCGUGGACUCCCAAAGUUAUGGGAAGAGGAAGAAAAAGCAUGCAGAGGAUGUCGCAGUGGCUCCGGCCAGUUGUGCUGGCACUUGAGGAGGCGAGGCUAUGAGUUCAAGGCCAACCUGAGCAACAUAACAAGCUCUCAUUGAUUAACAAAAAAAAAAAAAAAAGAAAAGAAAAAGCAUGCAGGAGCACACUCCUAAAGUUUUUUAAGACCCUGACCUAAAAAGUUGCAUAUCUCACCUGUUGCUACAGACUGAAGGUGUCCCUCCAAAAUUCAUACACUCAAAUGAACCCUUAGGCCUCAACGUGAUGGUAUUUGGGGAUGGGUCUUUGAAAGGUAAUUAUGUCAUGAGACUGGAGCCCUCAUGGUGGAAUUAGUGCUCCUAUAAAAGACAUGAAUCCUACCCCCACUCCACCCCCAUCUAUCUGCCAGGUCUCCACCCCCAUCUAUCAGCCAAGGCCUUCUGCAAACAGAAAAUAGCUCCUCACCAGACACCAGAUCUACCUGGGCCUUGAUCUUGGACCUCCCAACCUCCAGACUGUGAGAAAUAAAUACGUGCUGUUUAAGUCAUCCAACCUAUGGUAUUUUUGUUAUAGCAUGCUGAACUCACCAAGACACCACCCUCCACCAUCCACUAAGUCACAUGGUUCAUCUACUUAGAAGGAAGGCUGGGAAAUGUAGUCUUUGAUGGGGCAACCAUGAGACUAGCUACAAUCCAAUUAUUUUGGAUGAAUGGGGGAGUGAAUUUUGGUAGACAACUAGGAGUGUCUAUCACAUAGGGUAGGUUCAUGAGUCCUUGUUGAACUCAGAGGGUGAGACAGUCAAUGUCUGUGGUUCCCAGAAGUUCUCAAGCCAUAUAGGUACAGAUCCACUGACCCCUGCACCUGGGAAGUUAGUUCUGUUCACUGUAACUGACAGAAAUAAUUCCCUGCUGACAUUAUUAGUGGCUCUCAGCCAAGACAAGAAAAUGAGGCUACACCCAUAAAGGUACUAUUACAACCCUUCAGCUGCCACGUUGAUGAUCUUAUGCUCCUCAUCACACGGAGUUAACACCCAGAGUAAUCACUCUUGGCAAGAUCUAAAACUUCACCCUUUGUGGAUGGUUUAAACAACUGAUUUCUUAGAGAAAUUCAAAAGCAAACUGUUUAUGCAAAGUACACAAUUCCUGGGGUCCUCAGACCCCCUAAGAAAUAUCCCACCACUCCUUUCCCUUGUAAGGGAUAAAAAGGAUUAGAAUCCAGGAAACUUGCUGUACUGGCCUGUUACAACCUUAAUCCAAGGGAGUGACACUAACAACAGGAUUUCAGUUAUGAUGUAAGAUGAGAGAUCGGAGACAGGGGUGUAUUUUGGCCUCCAUAGGGAGCCCAGAUGUCCC
Callithrix jacchus (white-tufted-ear marmoset) is the source of this 1934-nucleotide long non-coding RNA. The record is from Ensembl. NCBI's taxonomy places the organism in Eukaryota, Metazoa, Chordata, Mammalia, Primates, Cebidae.